RNAcentral lists this long non-coding RNA (2032 nucleotides) under Capra hircus (goat). Its description in RNAcentral is "lncRNA (ENSCHIG00010017679.1)". Lineage: Eukaryota; Metazoa; Chordata; Mammalia; Artiodactyla; Bovidae. The record is from RNAcentral.
UAUCACUCACACAUAGCAUCCAGGUGCAGUUAAAUUCCCCCAAAGCACAGGGAAGAGGCAUCACUGUGGGCGAGUGGGGUGUGUCCCUAUCAGAAGAGAAGAUGAUGAGACAACAACCUAGUGUAACUAAAUCUCCUUUCCUUCCCAACCGUGCUGCCUAAGUCACAGCAGAGAAGCACACUUAGAACUGGACGGUGGUUCUCGCGAGGCUCCGCAUCUAUUUCGUCUGUUUAAACAUGUUCUUCUCCCAUGGCUGCCAGGAUGCCCCAAGCCGCUAGAGUCUUUUUCAGCCAGGGCCUGCCCUGCCCUUGGUGGCUGCCUCCCCAGUGAGCUGAUGUUCAGGUUCUUUUACUUCUGAGAUGCAGUACACUUUCUAUUGAGACAAUGGAUCUUUUUGUUCUUUGUGAUUCAACUCUAAUUUGGUUUUUGUUUUUGUUUAAUUCUGCACAUGGCUUCAGAGCACAGCUGACUUUUGCCUGGGACCAUCUUGUCAGUGUUGACAACUCCCUUAUUUAUUUGCCUUGGAAAAUUCUCUUUUCAUUUUUCAUAUAGCAUCAGAUUCAUGGCUUAUUCCCACCUGGCUGCUGCCUACAACCUUUUCCAGCUAGGAAGACAUGUGUUAUGAGCCCCACCAAGGGCGGGGCCCUGUGCCACAGGAUGGGGAUGCGGGGCCCAGGAUCAAGGGUCAGCAUCAAAUGGGCACAGGCUGAGCUGGUGGCCAAGGGCCCUGUGUUCUUACCCUGCCCCCUCUUCCCAAGACAUCCUGAGCUGUGGGCAGCAGACUCACGGUUGGCCUCGUGUCACUUGCUCUGAUUUGAUCCUCCACAUGAAGAACAUGGUUAUGCAACCACGUAAAAGACUCACUUCCUUUCUGGUCAUUUUCUGUUCUUCAGCACGUAACUCACCUACUGCCAUGUCCUUUGAUCCCUACUUACUGUCUUGCUCCUUAAAAUGGGCCUCCCUCGACCAGAGACCCUGGGGAAUCAGCACACCCUUUCCCACCAACCACUUCUGAACUUACACCCACAGAGGUGAGAGGGGGUCUUUGGAAGCACAUGAUUUAAUCCAGUAAGCAAUUUUUCCAGAAUUUGUCCAGAGUACUAAGUUCAUUCCAUAGUGAUUAUCAUAGAACAAAGCAGCAGGUUCUUGAGUAAUUGUUAAAAUNNNNNNNNNNNNNNNNNNNNNNNNNNNNNNNNNNNNNNNNNNNNNNNNNNNNNNNNNNNNNNNNNNNNNNNNNNNNNNNNNNNNNNNNNNNNNNNNNNNCAUAGAACAAAGCAGCAGGUUCUUGAGUAAUUGUUAAAAUGCAGACUCCUGGGUCACAUUCCAGGCUUUCUGAGUCAGGACCCCUUGGGGGUGGAGCCAGAGAACCUGCACUUUUACAAUCUCCCGAGGCACGUCUCACAACGACUGAAGUCUGAGAACGUGCAGGGCAAGAUGUACGGAGCAGGCCAGGUCUCAGGAAGCUUGCAACCGCACAGAAGUGAAAAGCAGACAAAAUCUGCAGUCCAAAGUCAUCCCCAAUAUGGCCUCAGCAGUGUUGAUAAGAGGAACGCAGGCCCCUUGUGCCUGACGGCUCCGUUCUCCAUGGCUUCUGGCUUCCAAAUGUGAGUUAUUUGCUGGCACAGGUAGGUGAUGUUCUGCUGCUGAGAAAGAAUGCUUUCCCCACAAAUAAUCUACUCUUUCAUCCCAGUACAUAUUAAGUGCCUACUGUACAUCCUUUUAAAUAUACAUCUGACGUCUUUAGUGACUUUCUCAUAUCUUCCCGACUUAUUGAGUCAUCAGCCACAUUUUCAUCCACAGCACAGCAGUAGUCACUAGAAUUAGCCUGAGAUGUGAGUAUGAUCAUGUUUUUGGUAGCUGUUCUGAGGCAAGGACAAUCAAUGGCCUCCAGAGAUGUCCCCAUCCUCAUCCCUGUUGAGAGAUGACUUAAGUACAUCACACGACAAAGGGGGAUUCUCAAGAUGGGGAGAUUCUCCUGGGUUAUCCAGGAGGUACAAUUUAACCACAUGCGGUCUUAACAGUAGAGAACCCA